RNAcentral lists this small RNA (179 nucleotides) under Arabidopsis thaliana (thale cress). RNAcentral's name for it is "ATSL140460". The record is from RNAcentral. Lineage: Eukaryota; Viridiplantae; Streptophyta; Magnoliopsida; Brassicales; Brassicaceae.
AACAUUUUGAGAAAAAUAGCUUAGCUUAUAGGAUUUAACUUUUCAAUUAUUUUCAUUUAUUAAUUUUAACUCAUUUAAUAUUAAUUUGCAUGAUGUAAAAUUAACUUACGAGAUUACGGCAUAUACAAAAAAUAUAUUUUCAACAAUGUUUGGUUUCUAAAUAUUUUUGUGGAUUGUUU